Molecule: non-coding RNA, 164 nt
Organism: Streptococcus pneumoniae JJA
Lineage: Bacteria; Bacillati; Bacillota; Bacilli; Lactobacillales; Streptococcaceae
Source: Rfam
GGAAAUAAGAAUCGUCAGAGGAAGGGAUAGCGAAAUCGUGGCUCUACGAACAGGAACGUGAUAGUAAGGCGUAUAUAGCGGAUAAGGAGGCUUCAAACUCUAAAGUCCAAAAAGGUAGUCGUAACCUAUAUGUGUAAAUCACGAGAGUAAUUGAAUUCGGACUA